AUUGAACGCUGGCGGCGUGCCUAACACAUGCAAGUCGAGCGGUAACAGGUGUAGCAAUACAUGCUGACGAGCGGCGGACGGGUGAGUAACGCUUGGGAAUCUGCCUAUUAGUGGGGACGAACCCGGGAACGUACGGCGUAAUACGCAUACGCUCUACGAGGAAGACCGGGACCGGCAAGGACCUGCGCUAAUAGAUGAGCCCAAGUCGGAUUAGCUAGUUGGUAGGGGUAAGUGGCCGUA
This 240-nucleotide ribosomal RNA is filed under the name uncultured bacterium. RNAcentral's name for it is "partial 16S ribosomal RNA". It matches the Rfam family "Bacterial small subunit ribosomal RNA", at positions 30 to 267 of the family's 1533-position model. The record is from RNAcentral.